Molecule: ribosomal RNA, 634 nt
Filed under: Escherichia coli
Lineage: Bacteria; Pseudomonadati; Pseudomonadota; Gammaproteobacteria; Enterobacterales; Enterobacteriaceae
Description: partial 23S ribosomal RNA
Rfam family: Bacterial large subunit ribosomal RNA
Source: RNAcentral
CGAAUGCUGACAUAAGUAACGAUAAAGCGGGUGAAAAGCCCGCUCGCCGGAAGACCAAGGGUUCCUGUCCAACGUUAAUCGGGGCAGGGUGAGUCGACCCCUAAGGCGAGGCCGAAAGGCGUAGUCGAUGGGAAACAGGUUAAUAUUCCUGUACUUGGUGUUACUGCGAAGGGGGGACGGAGAAGGCUAUGUUGGCCGGGCGACGGUUGUCCCGGUUUAAGCGUGUAGGCUGGUUUUCCAGGCAAAUCCGGAAAAUCAAGGCUGAGGCGUGAUGACGAGGCACUACGGUGCUGAAGCAACAAAUGCCCUGCUUCCAGGAAAAGCCUCUAAGCAUCAGGUAACAUCAAAUCGUACCCCAAACCGACACAGGUGGUCAGGUAGAGAAUACCAAGGCGCUUGAGAGAACUCGGGUGAAGGAACUAGGCAAAAUGGUGCCGUAACUUCGGGAGAAGGCACGCUGAUAUGUAGGUGAAGUCCCUCGCGGAUGGAGCUGAAAUCAGUCGAAGAUACCAGCUGGCUGCAACUGUUUAUUAAAAACACAGCACUGUGCAAACACGAAAGUGGACGUAUACGGUGUGACGCCUGCCCGGUGCCGGAAGGUUAAUUGAUGGGGUUAGCCGCAAGGCGAAGCUCU